RNAcentral lists this ribosomal RNA (441 nucleotides) under uncultured bacterium. Its description in RNAcentral is "bacterial SSU rRNA". It matches the Rfam family "Bacterial small subunit ribosomal RNA", at positions 340 to 789 of the family's 1533-position model. The record is from RNAcentral.
UACGGGAGGCAGCAGUGGGGAAUAUUGCACAAUGGGCGGAAGCCUGAUGCAGCGACGCCGCGUGAGGGAUGACGGCCUUCGGGUUGUAAACCUCUUUCAGCACGGAAGAAGCGAAAGUGACGGUACGUGCAGAAGAAGCGCCGGCUAACUACGUGCCAGCAGCCGCGGUAAUACGUAGGGCGCAAGCGUUGUCCGGAAUUAUUGGGCGUAAAGAGCUCGUAGGCGGUUUUGUCGCGUCUGCUGUGAAAGCCCGGGGCUUAACCCCCGGGUGUGCAGUGGGUACGGGCAGACUUGAGUGCAGUAGGGGAGACUGGAAUUCCUGGUGUAGCGGUGAAAUGCGCAGAUAUCAGGAGGAACACCGAUGGCGAAGGCAGGUCUCUGGGCUGUUACUGACGCUGAGGAGCGAAAGCAUGGGGAGCGAACAGGGAUUUAGAUACCCGU